This 633-nucleotide ribosomal RNA is filed under the name uncultured bacterium. RNAcentral's name for it is "bacterial SSU rRNA". The stretch from base 1 to 542 matches the Rfam family "Bacterial small subunit ribosomal RNA", at positions 338 to 873 of the family's 1533-position model. The record is from RNAcentral.
CCUACGGGAGGCAGCAGUGGGGAAUAUUGGACAAUGGGCGCAAGCCUGAUCCAGCCAUACCGCGUGUGUGAAGAAGGCCUUUUGGUUGUAAAGCACUUUAAGCGAGGAGGAGGCUCUUGAGGUUAAUACCCUUGAUGAGUGGACGUUACUCGCAGAAUAAGCACCGGCUAACUCUGUGCCAGCAGCCGCGGUAAUACAGAGGGUGCGAGCGUUAAUCGGAAUUACUGGGCGUAAAGCGCGCGUAGGCGGCUUGUUAAGUCGGAUGUGAAAUCCCCGGGCUCAACCUGGGCACUGCAUUCGAUACUGGCAAGCUAGAGUAUGGGAGAGGAAGGUAGAAUUCCAGGUGUAGCGGUGAAAUGCGUAGAGAUCUGGAGGAAUACCGAUGGCGAAGGCAGCCUUCUGGCCUAAUACUGACGCUGAGGUGCGAAAGCAUGGGGAGCAAACAGGAUUAGAUACCCUGGUAGUCCAUGCCGUAAACGAUGUCAACUAGCCGUUGGGGACCUUGAGUCUUUAGUGGCGCNGCACGCGAUAGUUAGACCGCCGUCGGGAGGUACGGUCGCGAGAACGUAAACCGUACGAAGAAGUAGUAGGACGACGAGAGAGCGACGGACGACGACGACGGGAGGGAGGAGG